GUUGGAAAUCAUUUUU
This 16-nucleotide small RNA is filed under the name Arabidopsis thaliana (thale cress). Its description in RNAcentral is "ATSL179450". Lineage: Eukaryota; Viridiplantae; Streptophyta; Magnoliopsida; Brassicales; Brassicaceae. The record is from RNAcentral.